RNAcentral lists this ribosomal RNA (375 nucleotides) under uncultured organism. RNAcentral's name for it is "partial 16S ribosomal RNA". It matches the Rfam family "Bacterial small subunit ribosomal RNA", at positions 527 to 896 of the family's 1533-position model. The record is from RNAcentral.
GUAGGUGGCAAGCGUUGUCCGGAAUUAUUGGGCGUAAAGCGCGCGCAGGCGGUUCUUUAAGUCUGACGUCGAAAGCCCACGGCUCAACCGUGGAGGGUCAUUGGAAACUGGAGAACUUGAGUACAGAAGAGGAAACGCGGAAUUCCACGUGUAGCGGUGAAAUGCGUAGAGAUGUGGAGGAACACCAGUGGCGAAGGCGGCUUUCUGGUCUGUAAUUGACGCUGAGGCGCGAAAGCGUGGGGAGCAAACAGGGAUUAGAUACCCUGGUAGUCCACGCCGUAAACGAUGAGUGCUAAGUGUUAGGGGGUUUCCGCCCCCUUAGUGCUGCAGCUAACGCAUUAAGCACUCCGCCUGGGGAGUACGGCCGCAAGGCUG